UAACACCCAAAAACAAAUCAAAUAAAUUAAAUCCCCCACGUUUUAACCUUUCAUGAAAUUCCAUUGGAAAAACACUACCCACCACAGUUUAAUACCACAUAGCCACUAUCUCCAUCGAAUCGAAAAUAUCCCACCGACGAACCAUCGCCGCACACCUAGCUUCGUCCAUCUCCGGCCUAAUCUCCACUCCCUCUAAUUCGUAAACACCAAUUAGUAGUAGCGACCAA
RNAcentral lists this long non-coding RNA (227 nucleotides) under Capsicum annuum. RNAcentral describes it as "long non-coding RNA (CANN_LNC019694)". Lineage: Eukaryota; Viridiplantae; Streptophyta; Magnoliopsida; Solanales; Solanaceae. The record is from RNAcentral.